GGCUCAGUAGCUCAGUGGUUAGAGCAGGGGAUUCAUAAGCCCAAGGUCGCAGGUUCAAAUCCCGCUUGAGCCA
Molecule: transfer RNA, 73 nt
Filed under: Porphyra umbilicalis (laver)
Lineage: Eukaryota; Rhodophyta; Bangiophyceae; Bangiales; Bangiaceae
Also listed under: 16 other names
Rfam family: tRNA
About the family: Transfer RNA (tRNA) molecules are approximately 80 nucleotides in length. Their secondary structure includes four short double-helical elements and three loops (D, anti-codon, and T loops).
Source: Rfam by way of RNAcentral